RNAcentral lists this long non-coding RNA (815 nucleotides) under Diabrotica virgifera virgifera (western corn rootworm). RNAcentral describes it as "uncharacterized LOC126884128". Lineage: Eukaryota; Metazoa; Arthropoda; Insecta; Coleoptera; Chrysomelidae. The record is from RNAcentral.
ACAAGGUAAUUAUACAAUAAUAUAGAUCAGAUCAAUAUGAUAUCAACUUGAAAUAUUUGCUGAUCUAUCUAACGCUAAAUUAUUUAUUUUAGGUUAUCUAGUCGAAAGUCUGAAGGAAGAAAUACGAUGCAAUGAAUUUAACUAUAUAAAAAAAAAUAAAAGUAUUUGACAAAAAAUUAAGUCGAAGAUAACCCAAAAUUAUCUUGAAUAUUCAAAAUUUGUUAUACUAAAGCUAGAAAAUGAAAAACAUUGACUUUAGAUCAUGAUCAAUUAAAAAUAUAAACUGUUCAGUACAACCUUUCACGAUGUAAUAUGAAGAUAAACCAAACUGCUAUGAAGUCUCUUCGGAUCCAAGAAGAAAUCAACUCCUCUUUCACUGGAACAAUGUUCUAAACAUGGUAGAUACCCGCAUCGGAAUACUUUUUCACUUUUCUUAUAAAGUUGAGGGUCAUUUUUGAAAAUUUUUUCUUCACCAUGAAGAUUAUUUAUACAGAUUAAUGUCUAUUUCAACAUAAUUUCACAAAUCUAUACAUGCAGCUAAAUGAUGCAAGACGUAUCACCUUAACGAAGUUCCUUUCGAAGUGACUUUUGGAAACAUGGAACCUUUUGAUGAUUCUUACGAACAAAUAAGGCUAUUGUAUGAUACAAAUAGAAGUAAUUCUCUGGUAAAACUCAAAAUUCAAAUUAUUAUAUAUUCUAUUUACUAAUUUCUAAUUUAUAUGUCAUUGAAAUAUCAUCUUUGAUAUAGGAUUACCUAUUUUGAUUUCUUAUGUAAUUCUACCUUUAUACACUUAAAUAAAACCAUCUUAUAACUA